CUUACGGGGGGCAGCAGUCGAGAAUUUUUCACAAUGGGCGCAAGCCUGAUGGAGCGACGCCGCGUGGGGGAUGAAUGGCUUCGGCCCGUAAACCCCUGUCAUUUGCGAUCAAACCUUGCUAUUUAAAAGAUGGCGAGCUGAUAGUAGCGAAAGAGGAAGGGACGGCUAACUCUGUGCCAGCAGCCGCGGUAAUACAGAGGUCCCAAGCGUUGUUCGGAUGGGCUGGGCGUAAAGGGGGUGUAGGUGGUGUGAAAUCUCGGAGCUCAACUCCGAAAUGGCAUUGGAAACUACCCUGCUAGAGGGUCGGAGGGGGGACUGGAAUUCUCGGUGUAGCAGUGAAAUGCGUAGAUAUCGAGAGGAACACCAGUGGCGAAGGCGAGUCCCUGGACGACUCCUGACACUGAGGCACGAAAGCUAGGGGAGCAAACAGGAUUAGAUACCCCAGUAGUC
This 450-nucleotide ribosomal RNA is filed under the name uncultured bacterium. RNAcentral describes it as "partial 16S ribosomal RNA". It matches the Rfam family "Bacterial small subunit ribosomal RNA", at positions 338 to 795 of the family's 1533-position model. The record is from RNAcentral.